AGAGUUUGAUCAUGGCUCAGGAUGAACGCUAGCUACAGGCUUAACACAUGCAAGUCGAGGGGAAACGACAUCGAAAGCUUGCUUUUGAUGGGCGUCGACCGGCACACGGGUGAGUAACGCGUAUCCAACCUGCCCACCACUUGGGGAUAACCUUGCGAAAGUAAGACUAAUACCCAAUGACGUCUCUAGAAGACAUCUGAAAGGGAUUAAAGAUUUAUCGGUGGUGGAUGGGGAUGCGUCUGAUUAGCUUGUUGGCGGGGUAACGGCCCACCAAGGCUACGAUCAGUAGGGGUUCUGAGAGGAAGGUCCCCCANAUUGGAACUGAGACACGGUCCAAACUCCUACGGGAGCA
RNAcentral lists this ribosomal RNA (352 nucleotides) under uncultured bacterium. RNAcentral's name for it is "bacterial SSU rRNA". It matches the Rfam family "Bacterial small subunit ribosomal RNA", at positions 8 to 349 of the family's 1533-position model. The record is from RNAcentral.